UGCAUUUAGAGGCAGUCUCAAUCAAAACCUCUAGGAAAGGAGUAUCCCUAUCCCAACUAGCCGCAGUAUACAGACCUUCCAUGAUUGCUCAUUGUGCUUUCAUUAGAAGAAUUAUUGCUAAAGUCCAUUGAUUGCCAGACCAACCCGAACCGAGCAGUUCGGCCUAAACCAAACCAAAUCGAUGCCAAGUCGUACCGGUUCAUCCAUAUCACUCGAUUCACGUAUAAUCUUUCCCCUCACCGCCGCAAUGCAACGAUUUGAGAGCCUUCGAGGCUCUCUCCUUCACUCUCACUCUCUCUUUCUCCACUAGAAGAUCCUCCCCUCUUCGACCGACUCCCUCACCGAUAAGUCUCUCUCUCACACAUACACCCUCUCUCUAUCGGACAACGCAAACCGCCGAGUUCAAGGUAACCCUCUUCGACGUGAAACGCUCACUAGUAACCCACUUUGAUGUGAAACCCUUAUCAGUAAGCCUUUGAGACUCUCUCCUUAUCUCUCUCUCUCUCUCCACCGAAUGAUCCCUUCUUUUCAAUGUGAAGCCCUCACUAGUAAGCCUCCCCACUCUCCUCUCUCUCACCACCGAACGAUCCCCCCUUUUCAACGUGAAACCCU
RNAcentral lists this long non-coding RNA (612 nucleotides) under Phoenix dactylifera (date palm). RNAcentral describes it as "long non-coding RNA (PDAC_LNC020157)". Lineage: Eukaryota; Viridiplantae; Streptophyta; Magnoliopsida; Arecales; Arecaceae. The record is from RNAcentral.